Molecule: ribosomal RNA, 253 nt
Filed under: uncultured bacterium
Lineage: Bacteria
Description: partial 16S ribosomal RNA
Rfam family: Bacterial small subunit ribosomal RNA
Source: RNAcentral
UACGAAGGUCCCGAGCGUUAUCCGGAUUUAUUGGGUUUAAAGGGUGCGUAGGUGGCUUUGUAAGUCAGUGGUGAAAGCCCGGAGCUCAACUCCGGAACUGCCAUUGAUACUGCUUAGCUUGAAUCACGUCGAGGUGGAUGGAAUAAUACAUGUAGCGGUGAAAUGCUUAGAUAUGUAUUAGAACACCGAUUGCGAAGGCAGUUCACUAGGCGUGUAUUGACACUGAGGCACGAAAGCGUGGGGAUCAAACAGG